Long non-coding RNA from Bubalus bubalis (water buffalo), 606 nucleotides. RefSeq lists it as uncharacterized. NCBI's taxonomy places the organism in Eukaryota, Metazoa, Chordata, Mammalia, Artiodactyla, Bovidae. The record is from RefSeq and is a predicted model, not a curated record. The transcript is spliced from 2 exons.
CAUUCCUGUUGUGGCAGCUUGCUGGGCUCCCCCUGAAGCAGCCCCUUCUCUGUCCCCCCAACCCUUUCCGACAGCACAGCCCCUAGGCCCUGGGAAGUGCCCACAGGGCACCCUCAGCCCUGCCCCCUGCUCUGCCCGCCGCCUGCCUCCCAUAGUACCAAGGAGCUUGGUCUCUUCCUCCCCCGGGGGCUCUGGGUGGAUGCUGUCAUUCUUCCUUAGACAGAUUUGUAGAAUCAGGGAUUUUUGGAGCUGAGACCCAGCUCCUUAUUUUUCAAUGGGUCUUUAACACAGUUGAGAGGUCAUUCCGGACUCCUGACGCCGCCAGUCCCUUGGUGAGACGUGAGCGCCAUUGGCGUCCGUGGCCUCUGUUUCCGUGGCAACCCAGUAACCAUUAAUUUUCAAUUAAAGGAGACAAAAAGCUCGAUGACAGCUCCAGGUCUGCUGAAGAUGUCAAGAAUCUGUAUUAAUAUACAGCAAGAGAGCAUAAUUGUGUGUCCAUCUUCCAGAGCAGCGAAAAAUGGAGGGAUAAUUACCAGCUCGAAAGCCACUCUGUAAUUUAGUUCUUACUGUCACCACAGCCCUACACAUUAGCAUAAAUUAAAAGCA